Molecule: long non-coding RNA, 969 nt
Filed under: Homo sapiens (human)
Lineage: Eukaryota; Metazoa; Chordata; Mammalia; Primates; Hominidae
Description: Prader-Willi region non-protein coding RNA 1
Source: RNAcentral
GGGGUAUUCUGGUUGCCUUACCCAGCUCUGAAGUCUGUCAGCCUCUUCAGAUGUCACUUGCCCUGUGGUAAGGAAGUGUAGUCAGCACCUGGUGCAGUGGCAAGAAGAGAAAGGAAGUUCCCCAAGACAGAAACAUCUCAGCAGUGAGUUCCUGAUGAGGGAAGGGAAGUGAAUCCUAAGAACAAUCAUGUGAGUUUGGAAGGAGACCCUUCCCCAGCUGAGCCUCAGCCUGAGCCAUCACCUACAUCUAGACCGAAGACCCAGAGAAACCGCAACAUUCGAAACCCAGGUGCCACUCCUUCAGGAAGGUACCAUCAAGCUCCAAGGACUCUUAUCCUCUUUCUCCUUCCCCACUACCUAGUCAUUAGAGCGUCAGCAUCCACUUCUUGAAAGGAAGAUGCCUGUUUUUCACAUAUCCCAGAAAACCCCAUUUUAGGACAGCAUUUAGCAGAGUAUAUUCAGGAUCCCACUAACCUUUUUGGAAGACAUGACUUCCAGAUGAUAUAAGGCAAGAAUAAGAAAUUUCAGUGACAGGGAACAGAAAUCAUAUUUCUGCAUUCAGGAUCAUGUUUUCUUGGCUCCAUCAGGAACUGUGCAGGACUGUGCACUCUGUUGAUACUCACAUGGUGGAAUUAUAUUGCCUUUGGCCAACCCUAAAGCCAUCAAGAUAGCAGGUCUGGUCUACCGAGAAGAGAGAUCAAAGAGCUCUUCAGCUGUUCCCAGCUCCCCACACAAAUCUACCUAACAAAGUCCCGAUAAACAGUCUGUUUUCUGGAGUCUAUCAAUACUGAUGAGGUCUUGUUCUUUUGGCCAGGCUGGAGUGCAGUGGUACAGUCGUGACUCACUGCAGCUUCAAACACCUGGGUUCCAGCAUUCAUCCCACUUCAGCCUCCCGUGUAGCCGGGACUACAGAUUUGUCUUUCCUUUUGGCUGAGACCGUGGUAACCAAUAAACUCUUUACUUUCUCUA